GAGUGGCAGCAUAUUUAUUGUUCUGAAAAGGAGAAGUAUAUUUUACCUGUUUGUAUGUGUGAGUCACUGAGCUUGUGUUUGUUCAUUCAUAGCUCUAUCAAUCAAUCUUUAUUCAGUAAUUGUUGAGAUAUUUUGUAGUCUACUCAAAGUUCGGCCAAGACAGUCCAAUAUGUCCAGCAUUAUGUAUUUUCAGAAUUACACUAAUAAACAAAUACAUUUAAGGUCUAUUGUACAUGCUAUUGUUUGACCAGGGAAGCGGCUGAAUAAUUGGUGGAGGACAUGUUGCCAUAUUGCCUAGUUUUUGAAAGUUCUGAAACCUUGUUAAAGUGAUACUCCAGUUAUUUAUGAUUGCAUGUCUUCAAAGCUGUGGGACAAGAAGCAGUAGUCAAAAUCUAAGCAGCAGAGGCCAGGAUAUCCUGACUUUUAGUUCCCAUAGGUCAAGCUCCAAAAAUACUGGAUCCUACAACAAGUCCAUAAACGUCAUAGGCUAACUGUCUCAACAGUUUUAACUCCUGCAGACACUGAUUAUCAUAAUCAUCAGUUAAAAUCCUGGCUUUGGUUUAACCUCAUUGUGAGUGUGUGAAUGUUACUGAAUGGUUAGAGAAGAGAAAUAAACUGUUUUUUGGAUUCAUUUGCAGUAUCAGGAAGAUGUGGUUCAGAAUUAAUACUUGAUGCCAUUGGGGAUCCCUAAUCCCCAAAGGGAAACUCUUUCAAAUCCAGUUGGUACAACCUUCAAUGUAUUGUCUACAAAACCAGAUACAAAUUGAAACUGACCCUUAAAAUUAAAUCUAUUUGUGUCUAAGAAAGAAAAGAAACCUGCUCCACCUCUAUUACCUUGUCAGACGCCGACCUUUGACCUCAGGGGAGAUCAGUCACUUCUUCAGUACUGUCUCACCCAGCAACACCAUUUUGCUACUUUCAAAGGCUGCGCCUUGUGUUUGAUCUCCUGUUAAAGUCCUCCGUGACCAAAGAGAACACGUGUGCCAUCAUCUGGAAUGAUCUGCAUACAUCAUCAUGAGCGUCUGCUGAGAUCCUCUGGGAUGCUCCUCACUUGGUCGUAAAGAUGAAGAUGCUUCAGACCUUUGACCUCAUCUCAUCUCAGCAGAGUAAAGGCCAACAUUAAAGCUAUCCUUAAAUGGUGGCCCUCCAUCCUUUCAGUAUGAACCACAUUAGGAAGUAAUCACUUAAGAGGAACUUCAGUUUCAUCAUUACAGAACAAAACACUGAUUGUAAGUGGCUCUACAGAGUCGCUGACUGGAGUCGAUCAGUGAAGACAACUUUUCUUCGCUCUGUUCAACAUGAAGCCAAAACUCAACUGGUCACCCAAACUCAACAUGGCCUAUCCUCUUUCACCACCACAUGUCACUCCUGCACACAUGGUUCCCUUCACACAUCAAACAUUCCUCGCUGACGACUCACUGGAGGUUAGCAGCAAUUAGCUGGGGAAUGUGUUUUCCAUGUGAACCAUGGUUCAUUUAGAAACUGAUCUUGGGUACAUGGACUGGGUCAGAACCUGGUGAUGCCAUUUCUGAUCUGAAUAAGCAGAAACAGGCCAGGCUGGAGUGAGCAAGUAUGCAGGUUAAAAGAUUGUUGCUAACUUGCAUCAAGUUUAAUUGGAUUGGGAGCAUAGUGAAGCAGGUCUUCGUAGGAAGUUUGUCUUUCUCAUUACAGACUAAUUUUGGACAGUUUGGGUGUAUUUUAGUGGCACAGAGACAAAUAUAAUGUUUUACAUUCACAUGCAUUUUUUGUAAUGUAUGCUAUAUUCUACGUGGUGUGUAGUAUAUACUACAUAUUGCUGCUGUAUAUUUGAUUUAGCUUGUAUACCUUUAAAUAACUAUAACCAUAUUUAUAUUAGUUAUAUACAGUAUAUAUACAAACAUUUCUUGAUCUGUUUCCUACCUCUUUAGACUGUUUCUUGCACUGCUGUAACAUGUGAAAGUCUUAUCUUGUUUUAUCUUUGUGUCAAAAUUUGUAGACAUCCAAUAUAUAUGAAUUCCAACCAAAGAAUUUUUUUACCUUUUGACCAUAGGUUAUAAUAAUCCAUCACAAUAUUUUCACACAUGUAACACUACGACUGAGUUAAACCCACAGUGACAUAAAAAUAUGAAACCAGCGGGAACCAUUGGGCUAGCAUGUGUCAUUUCACGCACCAUUACCUUGCCAUAUCGUUCACCAGAGUAAGUGUAAUUGCGUUGACAGGCUGUUGGUAUCUAUUAUUAUAGUAUUGUGUUGCCGCUGCUACACUGACCACACGCAAGGCCAUAAUUCAUGCAGUCAGUUUGAUGAAGCUAAAGAGCAACUAGUCCACCCUACUUUUCCCCCUUUUCAAUCCCCUCUUCCUCUUAAAUCCCUCCUUGUGCUGCAAGGGUUGAAGCUUCCAGUAAUCAGUCUGUCUCGUUUGGCUUGGAUUACAUGUCAGAAGGACUUUAGUGGCACUUGAGGAAAAUGCACAGGCCUUCUCAAUCCUGAGGGCAAAACACAACAUAGUCCGGGGCUGUUUCAAGACCAAACUGUACUGUGAUUGUGUUGGAGCAUGCAUGUUAAUGAUGAAAUAAAUAAUCCAAUUAAUUAAUUCUAUAACACAUAUAUGAACCAAUACAUUGUAAAUCAUUUAAAAAAUUAUUAAAACUCAACAUAUUAUUAUGAAAUUUUCAUUCUCAUUUUCAUAAUAACAGAGAUUUAUUGGAGUUAAUUUUUAUUGCAUUAUAGAAAUGUGUAUUUCAAAAGUCUGUUUUCUAUUUCCUGUUUGCUAGACCAACAGUGUCAAAGUAAUUCUGAAUCCACCAACUAGACACUGCUGCUGUAAAUAAACACACUAGGCACACAGUAACUAACUCCUCCUAUUAUUUAGCUUAACAAGGCUACAUAUGCUAUGGUACCUAGCUAGACAGCUAACUAGCUAGGUUUUCACAUGAGCACGGAUUAUUACUCAGCAUCAAAGUGACAAAGUUAAUGACAGCGGCUUGCUACUUAAUUUAGAGUUACCGCGGCAACAUUUUGAUUUCAAAGAUGUUCCUCAGAGAAAGACACACAACUCUGUAAAGAUCAAAAAGACAGACAGGCUUUCUCUGUUGUCACUCCACCCAACAUGAGCUAGCUAACAAUGCUAACACUUGCUCUUCCGUUUCAUGCUGAGUACUAAUCCAAGCUCAUAACCUAGCCUAGCUAGUUAGCUGGCUACGUUGGUAGCAUGUGUAGCCUUGUUAAGCUCAAUAAAAAGGAGAGUUUAGUUACUGUGUUUGUGUACUGUUUUUAUUUACAGCAGCAGCCUCUAGUUCAUUGAUUUAGAAUAACAUUGACAUCAUUGGCAAGUGUGUGUGUGUGUGUGUGUGUGUGUGUGUGUGUGUGUGUAUUAAGAUUGAGUUUAUGUAUCUGUGGUUGCAAUUGCAUGCACUCUUAGGUUUGUGUGUGCAUUGUUGGAUCAGUACAGAGGAUGAAUGGAUUUGAGCUUUAUUAUUGGUUUUACUGUUUGUUUGAUGUAGCAAUUUUGUCACAUUAAGUAUAGUACAGUAUACAGUAUGUAUUAGUAUACAAGGAACAUUCAGUAUUUCUCAGGAUUGUACAUUUCAGUCCUGGUGCACUAUGCACUACAUUACCAGGCCAUUUAAAAAAAAACAA
Long non-coding RNA from Siniperca chuatsi (mandarin fish), 3618 nucleotides. RefSeq lists it as uncharacterized. The record is from RefSeq and is a predicted model, not a curated record. Lineage: Eukaryota; Metazoa; Chordata; Actinopteri; Centrarchiformes; Sinipercidae. The transcript has 2 exons.